Molecule: ribosomal RNA, 1942 nt
Filed under: human gut metagenome
Description: bacterial LSU rRNA
Rfam family: Bacterial large subunit ribosomal RNA
Source: RNAcentral
UCUCCUCGAAAUAGCUUUAGGGCUAGCCUCAUGGAUCAUUGAUGGGGGUAGAGCACUGAAUGUGCGCGGGGGCCACAAAGCCUACCAAACGCUAUCAAACUUCGAAUACCAUACAAUGCAGACCAUGGGAGUCAGUCCGCGAGAGAUAAGUUCCGCGGGCAAAAGGGGAACACCCCAGAUCAACCGCUAAGGUCCCCAAGUUCACGUUAAGUGGAGAAGGAUGUGGAAUUGCACAGACAACCAGGAUGUUGGCUCAGAAGCAGCCACACAUUUAAAGAGUGCGUAAUAGCUCACUGGUCGAGUGAUUGUGCGCCGAAGAUGUCCGGGGCUAAACGUGACACCGAAGCGAUGGGUGCAUCUGAAAGGAUGCGCGGUAGAGGAGCAAUGUGCAGAGGCAGAAGCCGUAUCGAGAGGCACGGUGGACACUGCACAAGAGAGAAUGCCGGUAUGAGUAGCGAGAGGCAUGCGAGAAACAUGCCCGUCGAAAGCCCAAGGUUUCCUGGGGAAGGUUCAUCCGCCCAGGGUAAGUCGGGGCCUAAGCCGAGGACGGAAGUCGUAGGCGAUGGACAGCAGGUGUAGAUUCCUGCACUACCGAUGGAAUGAAGCAGUGACACAGAAGGAUAACUCGAGCAGGGUGAUGGUCAACCCUGUGCAAGCAUCAAGGUUGGGUUGUAGUGAAGUACGCAACCUUAUAAGCUGAGAUGUGAUGCGGACCGAAAUUUCAGUAGGGAAGCGAGUGAGUUCACGCUGGCGAGAAAAGCUGCUAGUACAUCCAAAGGUACCCGUACCGGAAACCGACGCAGGUGGGCGAGGAGAGAAUCCUGAGACGAACGGGAGAACCCUUGUUAAGGAACUCGGCAAAAUGACCCCGUAACUUCGGGAUAAGGGGUGCCUGCGAGAGCAGGCCGCAGAGAAUAGUCACAAGCGACUGUUUAGCAAAAACACAGGUAUCUGCGAAAGCGAGAGCUGACGUAUAGGUGCUGACACCUGCCCGGUGCUGGAAGGUUAAGGGAACAUGUUAGAGCAAUCGAAGCAUCGAACCGAAGCCCCAGUAAACGGCGGCCGUAACUAUAACGGUCCUAAGGUAGCGAAAUUCCUUGUCGGGUAAGUUCCGACCCGCACGAAUGGUGUAACGACUUGUGAGCUGUCUCAACAGGGGGCCCGGUGAAAUUGAAGUAUGGGUGAAGAUGCCCAUUACCCGCGACUGGACGGAAAGACCCCGUAGAGCUUUACUGCAGCCUGAUAUUGAGUUUCGGUAACUGAUGCACAGGAUAGGUGGGAGUCUGAGAGACAUGGGUUUCGGCUCAUGUGGAGACGGUGUUGGGAUACCACUCUUCGGUUACUGAAAUUCUAACAUAGCUCUGUGAAACCAGAGGAUGGACAGUGUCAGGUGGACAGUUUGACUGGGGCGGUCGCCUCCGAAAGAGUAACGGAGGCGCCCAAAGGUACCCUCAGAAUGGAUGGAAACCAUUCGAAGAGCGCAAAGGCAGAAGGGUGCCUGACUGCGAGAGUGACAACUCGAGCAGAGACGAAAGUCGGGCUUAGUGAUCCGGCGGUAUUGAGUGGAAAAGCCGUCGCUUAACGGAUAAAAGCUACCUCGGGGAUAACAGGCUGAUCUCCCCCAAGAGUCCACAUCGACGGGGAGGUUUGGCACCUCGAUGUCGGCUCAUCGCAUCCUGGGGCUGUAUUCGGUCCCAAGGGUUUGGCUGUUCGCCAAUUAAAGCGGCACGCGAGCUGGGUUCAGAACGUCGUGAGACAGUUCGGUCCCUAUCCAUCGUGGGCGUAGGAGUCAUGAGAGGAGCUGUUCCUAGUACGAGAGGACCGGAAUGGACGCACCACUGGUGCAACUGUUGUCGUGCCAACGGCAUAGCAGGGAAGCGAAGUGCGGAUGGGAUAAACGCUGAAGGCAUCUAAGCGUGAAGCCCACCUCAAGAAUAAGUGU